GGGCAUAUACCUAGCCCUAGACAUUCGACGGUUAAAGCAGCCAUGUUUCGUUAUUCAAGGAUUUAAUCGAAACAAGACAUUACAGAACACCCGAGUUUCAAAACAUUUAACAAUUUCUCAUGAUUAAUUUGACUUUGUUGGGAUUGUCAMUAGAUUCCAAAUGAGGAGGAGAAAGCGAAAACGUUUGGAACAUCGUWAUGGCGUCGUCUUCGUUUGGAAAGGAACUUCACCGUAAUAUAAUCGAGUUUUUUUGGUAAUGGGGUGUGUUAAACAGAAGUGAUUAUCAUGUCUCUGGUACACUGAGUUUGCUUAAAUAUGGAAGUUUUGAUUAAUGCUAAGGAAAUGGAAGGAGACAGUAGUCUCUUACAUACAAAUAAGUCUUCAGAUGAGUCGAAAACUCAUGGUAACUUGACGAAGAGUUCGAGCAAUUCAAAGCAAUUUGAAGAAACCUUUUCUACACCUCUAAUGAAGUCUGAAGACGUAAAAGAAACAAAAGCAGCUCAUUUUCAAAAUUCUUUGAUUGACGCUAUACUGUUUUGCGAUGAAGAUAGGGUUCGUGCAUUGAUUGAUGCUGGUGCUGAUGUCAACCUAACUGAUAAUGAGGGGAAGACUGCUUUGUUUUAUGCUGUUCAACAAAGUAACAAUGAAAGUGUGGUCCGUGCAUUGAUUGAUGCUGGUGCUGAUGUCAACCUAACUGAUAAUGAGGGAAAAACUGCUUUGUUUUAUGCUGUCCAAAGUAACAAUGAAAGUGUGGUUCGUGCAUUGAUAGAACAAGGGAAUUCGCUUACUAGUCCAAGAGACAUUUAUGGCAGGACUCCACUCUUUUAUGCCAUGACCAAAUCACAGUCAAUAAUUUGCUAUCUUCUAGAAAAGAAAGUUAACAUGCGCAUUAAAGACAAUUGUGGUAUGAGUUUCUUAUCAUUUUUUGUUGACCAUUGUCUCUCCAAACCUGCAAAUUCUAACAAUCAGUCUUGUAUAUCUGAAAGAAUUGAUUUAAUAGUCCAAAAAGGAGUGAAAAGAAAUACAGUUUAUGUCGCAAUUAUGAACAUCAUCUUUUGCAAAUGUCCUCUCCUCUUUCAUUCAGGAAUCAAUGUACCAAUCCUCAUCUUUUUCUUGGAGUUAGCAAAGACAUAUAGUACUGAACAUGAAAGUGAUAUUGAUGAUGUUUUGGAAAUGGUAAGAAAAACUGUGAAUGACAAAACACUGUUCAAAACCUUAAUACCACAGAUACUUGAUUUGCUGUGUGAAUUAGGGGCUGAUCCCAACAGUGCUGACAUGGAGGGAAACACUGCUCUUCACCAUGCAGUUUGUUUGCCAUUUUAUGGAGUGUCAAAAGAGGAAGUAAUGGACUUAGUAACGAAACUUGAAGAAGUUGGAAUAACAGUUGAUUCAAAAAACCACCACAGUGAAACACCGCUUCUGUUUUGUUUAACCUUGCACAGUAAUGAUCAACAAAUAUUAGAUGAAAACAGCCAGUUGUCAGCCUUCAAAAUACUUGUAGAAGUCUGUGAAUUUUUGAUAUGCAAUGGAUCAAAUGUUGAAGAGACGACGAAAAAAGGAGACUCUGUUUUGCAUUUAAUGAUGAGGCUUUUGCAGAAAAUUCUGGAAUGGCAUGGAAAUGCAAGACUAAGUGAUGCAAUUCAAGUAGGAAUUGUGUUAUUUGAAUUGAAAUUAUUUUCAACCUCCAGUGCAGCCAAAAGGGUCAUCAACAAAAAAGAUGAAAACCUCAACUCACCAAUUCAUCUUUGGGCAUCAUUGGAACCACCUCAACAAUGCUUGAGAGAUGUUGCUAAUGAAGGAAGUGUGUUUUCAGAUUUCAUGAAAAAAGUUCUUAAUAAACUUCUGGUCGACUGUGAUACACAAAUGAAGGAACGAAAUAAACAAGGUCAGACUCCUCUACAUCUCUGCAGAACCUGGGCUGCUGUUGAACUCUUGCUUGAUUUUGGAGCAAACCCAAAUGUUGUAGAUGUAUCAGGACGUUCACCCCUUAUUGUUGCUGCACACAACAAAACACAUACCUUUUUUUAUCCAGAUGUCGCGCUUGACGAUCCAAAAGAUUUUUGGAAACUAACUGCACUUGAGAAAGGUCUUGAUCCUUGGGUAGUCGAUAAAGAUGGAAAUUCUGUUUUGAGUUCUCUCAUCGAAUCAGAAGCUGUGGAUCUAGCCAAAGCCAUGAUUGAUGUUUUUUGUGCAAGCAGGAAAGACUUCCCUUCAGCAGAGGAAACCACAAAUACAUGUACAAUCUUAAAUAUCUUAUGUGAAGACAACAAAAAUGCACAGUGGAAACUAGAAUAUGUUAAUAAGAUUGUGCUAUUCUUGGGAAAACCUCUUAUUGAAAUAAAAUGGUCUAAAACUUCUCCUCUUCAUUCGUGCUGCAGGAAUAUUAUUGAAGCAUCAAAGGAUGAUGGUUCUUCUGUACAAACAACAGUACACUGGGCCAUUGCGAAACUAUUGCUGUCAUAUAAAGCUGAUUGUGCAAUCCCCGAUGAAACAGGCCAGUCUUGUCUGGAUAUAGCAGAAGAGUGCUCAGAGCUGAAAGAUCUCCUAAAUAACCAUGUAAUUAAUGAUGACACUCAUUGUCCUCAUCCUUGGGUCAAAGUUUCUGAAAGAUAUAGGCCUAUUUUGGAAAAAGUAGCAAGACAUCAGGAAAGUACACAUGCAUAUCCAUUUUGGUACUAUAAAGAUCAUUUAGGUGAAGGAUCAUUUGGCUUGAUAUUUGCAGGAAUCAAUGAGAACGAUGGGCGAGAGGUAGCCAUCAAACGUAUUGAAAAAUUGCGCAUGAAGAGACCAGAAGACAAACGAGAAAUAAUGACACUUUCCMUCCUGGCACACUGUGACCAGGUUGUUCAAUACCUGUCUUUYUUUGAAGAUGAACAUUUCUCUUACAUUGUSUUGGAAUUGAUGGAGGGAAAUCUUAAUGACUAUCUUGAUGAUUYUAAUAUUGYAAAGAAUAACAUUUCACUUUGCAARGAUUUAGUMAAAGGACAAGAWUAUCUGCAUGGUCUKAAAAUUCUUCAUCGAGAUCUCAAGCCAUCAAAUAUCCUUUAUAAAAAGUUUCCAAAACUGACUCUAAAAAUUGCUGACUUUGGUUUAAGCCAUCAUGUUGUUGGKAGUACCUCUACUUCAGCAUAUGCUUCUUUUGCUGGAACAAGGUGUUGGAUGGCUCCAGAGUUGCUGGGGUGCACAGAUGCGAAUUCAGGAGUUUAUACCAAGGGGUCUGACAUGUUUUCCUGUGGACUCAUUCUUCACUAUAUUUUAUCAGUUAAAAAACAUCCAUUUGCUCCAGCUGAUAGUGAUGAYAAAGGCACAUUGCAAGUCAGCAAUGAGACAGAAGCCAACAUAUURAAUGGCAGAAUGGAAGGAUGGGAUGACUCUCUGUGSCCUGAAGCAGCUCAUCUCAUUAAAGCAAUGCUUGAUGGAGAUGAAACUAAACGACCAUCUGCAGAUAAAGCAUUGGAUCAUCCAUAUUUCUGGCCAGAGAAGAAAAAGCUGGAUCUGCUCGUAGCUGUUGGCARUCAACCAGAAUUUGAAUAUCCUCGUGCUGGGAGAUCAKUUGUUUUGUCUGCUGUYGAGASUGAGUUAGAAGCAUGGUUUGGUACCAUAGUGAAGCAUUCAGCCUGGARCAACCCAGGUUAUGUACACAUGGCUGAUAUUUUUAAGGAAAUGAGAAGAAAAAUAAGGUAUGAUCCUCACUCUGUGGUAGAAUUGGUACGUUUCAUACGAAAUGCUUACGCGCACAUCUCUGAAAGUACACGGCCAACACAAAUCAAGAAACUAUUGCUGGAAGACUUUGUGUUCUUCAAAUAUUUUCCAAAUCUGUUGAUGGAAGUCUACAAGGCUGUAACCACUCAUGGAUGGGAUCAGACGAGAGCAGAGAUCAAGAAUGCAAUGAAGAAGUGAGAGUUACGAACAAACAGGUACAAAUAUUUUAUCAUGGAACAGUAUGAAGAUCUUUAAUACUAAAUCAAGGUCAGCUGAUACAAGAGACCAGCAUACAGAUAGAAUAGUGUUAAUAAUGUUAAGACAAGGGUACCAUUAGACAAUCAACACUGGCUAGAAUCAAAGCCUGUACAAUACUAGAUCAAGGUCAGCCUAUAUACAU
Unclassified non-coding RNA from Actinia tenebrosa (Australian red waratah sea anemone), 4102 nucleotides. Lineage: Eukaryota; Metazoa; Cnidaria; Anthozoa; Actiniaria; Actiniidae. The record is from RefSeq and is a predicted model, not a curated record.